RNAcentral lists this ribosomal RNA (994 nucleotides) under uncultured bacterium. RNAcentral's name for it is "bacterial SSU rRNA". It matches the Rfam family "Bacterial small subunit ribosomal RNA", at positions 355 to 1375 of the family's 1533-position model. The record is from RNAcentral.
UGGGGAAUAUUGCACAAUGGGGGAAACCCUGAUGCAGCGACGCCGCGUGGAGGAAGAAGGUCUUCGGAUUGUAAACUCCUGUUGUUGAGGAAGAUAAUGACGGUACUCAACAAGGAAGUGACGGCUAACUACGUGCCAGCAGCCGCGGUAAAACGUAGGUCACAAGCGUUGUCCGGAAUUACUGGGUGUAAAGGGAGCGCAGGCGGGAAGGCAAGUUGGAAGUGAAAUCCAUGGGCUCAACCCAUGAACUGCUUUCAAAACUGUUUUUCUUGAGUAGUGCAGAGGUAGGCGGAAUUCCCGGUGUAGCGGUGGAAUGCGUAGAUAUCGGGAGGAACACCAGUGGCGAAGGCGGCCUACUGGGCACCAACUGACGCUGAGGCUCGAAAGUGUGGGUAGCAAACAGGAUUAGAUACCCUGGUAGUCCACACUGUAAACGAUGAUUACUAGGUGUUGGAGGAUUGACCCCUUCAGUGCCGCAGUUAACACAAUAAGUAAUCCACCUGGGGAGUACGACCGCAAGGUUGAAACUCAAAGGAAUUGACGGGGGCCCGCACAAGCAGUGGAGUAUGUGGUUUAAUUCGACGCAACGCGAAGAACCUUACCAAGUCUUGACAUCCCUUGACGAUGCUGGAAACAGUAUUUCUCUUCGGAGCAAGGAGACAGGUGGUGCAUGGUUGUCGUCAGCUCGUGUCGUGAGAUGUUGGGUUAAGUCCCGCAACGAGCGCAACCCUUAUGGUCAGUUACUACGCAAGAGGACUCUGGCCAGACUGCCGUUGACAAAACGGAGGAAGGUGGGGAUGACGUCAAAUCAUCAUGCCCUUUAUGACUUGGGCUACACACGUACUACAAUGGUGGAAAACAGAGGGAAGCAAAGCCGCGAGGCAGAGCAAAACCCUAAAAGCCAUCUCAGUUCAGAUUGCAGGCUGCAACUCGCCUGCAUGAAGUCGGAAUUGCUAGUAAUCGCGGAUCAGCAUGCCGCGGUGAAUACGUUCCC